This 534-nucleotide ribosomal RNA is filed under the name uncultured bacterium. RNAcentral's name for it is "bacterial SSU rRNA". It matches the Rfam family "Bacterial small subunit ribosomal RNA", at positions 777 to 1304 of the family's 1533-position model. The record is from RNAcentral.
AAUAGAUACCCGGGUAGUCCACGCCGUAAACGGUGGGCACUAGGUGUGGGCGACAUUCCACGUCGUCCGUGCCGCAGCUAACGCAUUAAGUGCCCCGCCUGGGGAGUACGGCCGCAAGGCUAAAACUCAAAGGAAUUGACGGGGGCCCGCACAAGCGGCGGAGCAUGUGGCUUAAUUCGACGCAACGCGAAGAACCUUACCAAGGCUUGACAUACACCGGAAACGUCCAGAGAUGGGCGCCCCCUUGUGGUCGGUGUACAGGUGGUGCAUGGCUGUCGUCAGCUCGUGUCGUGAGAUAUUGGGUUAAGUCCCGCAACGAGCGCAACCCUUGUCCCGUGUUGCCAGCAGGCCCUUGUGGUGCUGGGGACUCACGGGAGACCGCCGGGGUCAACUCGGAGGAAGGUGGGGACGACGUCAAGUCAUCAUGCCCCUUAUGUCUUGGGCUGCACACGUGCUACAAUGGCCGGUACAAUGAGCUGCGAUACCGCGAGGUGGAGCGAAUCUCAAAAAGCCGGUCUCAGUUCGGAUUGGGGU